Molecule: transfer RNA, 72 nt
Filed under: Camelus bactrianus (Bactrian camel)
Lineage: Eukaryota; Metazoa; Chordata; Mammalia; Artiodactyla; Camelidae
Also listed under: 2 other names
Rfam family: tRNA
About the family: Transfer RNA (tRNA) molecules are approximately 80 nucleotides in length. Their secondary structure includes four short double-helical elements and three loops (D, anti-codon, and T loops).
Source: Rfam by way of RNAcentral
GUGGGUAUAGCUCAGUGAUGGAGUGCAUCUUUAACAUACAUGAGGUCCUGGGUUCAAUCCCCAGAACUUCCA